Molecule: long non-coding RNA, 249 nt
Organism: Polypterus senegalus (gray bichir)
Lineage: Eukaryota; Metazoa; Chordata; Cladistia; Polypteriformes; Polypteridae
Exons: 2
Source: RefSeq, a predicted model, not a curated record
CUUUAUGGUUACUAUCAUUAUUCAUAUUGCAGAAAAGGACAAUGGGAUCGAGCUUUUCCAACAUGCCAAGUAGGAUGGGGGUAAAAAGGCACCAUGGAGGAAGGAUUUCUGCACUGGAAGACUUCAAUAAGUUCAAGAGAUGAAGGAAAUGAGAAUAUAAAAAUCCCUGAAAUUAAGUUCUGUUUUGAGUCUUUCUAAUAUGGUAUGAAGUAUGCUUUACAAAAGUAAUAAAAAUUAUCUUUGCUACCA